This 431-nucleotide ribosomal RNA is filed under the name uncultured bacterium. RNAcentral's name for it is "bacterial SSU rRNA". It matches the Rfam family "Bacterial small subunit ribosomal RNA", at positions 29 to 507 of the family's 1533-position model. The record is from RNAcentral.
AACGAACGCUGGCGGCAGGCCUCAUACAUGCAAGUCGAGCGGUCCUUCGGGACAGCGGCGAACGGGUUAGUAACGCGUGGGAACGUGCCCUUUAGUACGGAAUAGCCAUUGGAAACGAUGAUUAAUACCGUAUACGCACCAAGGGGGAAAGAUUUAUCGCUAAAGGAUCGGCCCGCGUUAGAUUAGGUAGUUGGUAGGGUAAUGGCCUACCAAGCCGACGAUCUAUAGCUGGUUUGAGAGGAUGAUCAGCAACACUGGGACUGAGACACGGCCCAGACUUCUACGGAAGGCAGCAGUAGGGAAUCUUGGACAAUGGGCGAAAGCCUGAUCCAGCCAUGCCGCGUGAGUGAUGAAGGCCCUAGGGUUGUAAAGCUCUUUCGCCAGGGAAGAUAAUGACGGUACCUGGUAAAGAAACCCCGGCUAACUCCGUG